Molecule: long non-coding RNA, 659 nt
Organism: Rhopalosiphum padi (bird cherry-oat aphid)
Lineage: Eukaryota; Metazoa; Arthropoda; Insecta; Hemiptera; Aphididae
Exons: 5
Source: RefSeq, a predicted model, not a curated record
AGUCUCUCCUCCAAAUAUAAUUUAAUGAGUACGUAAAGUAAAUAAUAAUAUUGUAUUUAUAAUACAUAAUAUUAUCUUAACAGAUGCUCUUGAAAAAUCUGGAUACGUUGAAUGUAACACUGGUGAACAAAAUUACGUUAUUCUCGAGGUAGCAUUUCAACAACGUAAUACAUUAAUCGAUUUCAGCAAUUACUACACUAAAAGAGCAUAUUAUUUAAAUAUAAUUAAGGCAAUUCAUAAUACUGAAGAGAUAGCACAAGACUACUGUGUGAAGCUAUUAGAUGAACAUGACAUGUAUUUAAAGAAUGAAACACAAGCGAUGUCUAGUACAACUGAGUUUUGCAAAGACUAUAAGAAAUAAAGAUUAUACAUAAAUCACUUAAAAUAAUUAACUAAGAUCUAAAAAAUAAGUUGUAAAAUCAGAUUUUUUUAAACUAUUUGUUAUUAAUAUUGUUAAUAAAUUUAUUAAUAUUAGUUUUUACAAAAAUUCUGUAAUUUUUCAUAUACUAUUAUCAUGUAAUUAGAGUAUAAAUAAUUUAAAUAAUUUAAAAUAAUUUACUCAAAAUACUCAAAAUACUCAAGAAUUAGAAUAAACUAAUAAAAUAAUAUAAUAAUCAAUAAUUGUGUACUAAUAAAUCAAAUAGUUUUUUUUAUUGAAA